Molecule: ribosomal RNA, 460 nt
Filed under: uncultured bacterium
Lineage: Bacteria
Description: partial 16S ribosomal RNA
Rfam family: Bacterial small subunit ribosomal RNA
Source: RNAcentral
CCUACGGGAGGCAGCAGUGAGGAAUAUUGGUCAAUGGACGCACGUCUGAACCAGCCAUGCCGCGUGCAGGAAGACGGCUCUAUGAGUUGUAAACUGCUUUUGUACGAGGGUAAAUCCCGAUACGUGUAUCGGGUUGAAAGUAUCUUACGCAUAAGGAUCGGCUAACUCCGUGCCAGCAGCCGCGGUACUACGGAGGGUUCAAGCGUUAUCUGGCUGUAUUGUGUUUAAAGGGUGGGUAGGCGGUUCGAUAAGUUAGAGGUGAAAUCCCGGGGCUCAACUCCGGCACUGCCUCUGAUACUGUCUGGCUAGAGUGUAGUUGCGGUAGGCGGAAUGUAAGGUGUAGCGGUGAAAUGCAUAGAGAUCAUACAGAACACCGAUUGCGAAGGCAGCUUACCAAACUACGACUGACGUUGAGGCACGAAAGCGUGGGGAGCAAACAGGAUUAGAUACCCCUGUAGUC